AGCGAACGCUGGCGGCAGGCCUAACACAUGCAAGUCGAACGAACCUUUCGGGGUUAGUGGCGGACGGGUGAGUAACACGUGGGAACGUGCCUUUAGGUUGGAAUAACUCAGGGAAACUUGUGCUAAUACCGAAUGUGCCCUUCGGGGGAAAGAUUAAUCGCCUUUAGAGCGGCCCGCGUCUGAUUAGCUAGUUGGUUGAGGUAAUGGCUCACCAAGGCGACGAUCAGUAGCUGGUCUGAGAGGAUGAUCAGCCACAUUGGGACUGAGACACGGCCCAAACUCCUACGGGAGGCAGCAGUGGGGAAUCUUGCGCAAUGGGCGAAAGCCUGACGCAGCCAUGCCGCGUGAAUGAUGAAGGUCUUAGGAUUGUAAAAUUCUUUCACCGGGGACGAUAAUGACGGUACCCGGAGAAGAAGCCCCGGCUAACUUCGUG
RNAcentral lists this ribosomal RNA (433 nucleotides) under uncultured bacterium. RNAcentral's name for it is "partial 16S ribosomal RNA". It matches the Rfam family "Bacterial small subunit ribosomal RNA", at positions 29 to 507 of the family's 1533-position model. The record is from RNAcentral.